GCGGGUUUAGCUCAGUUGGGAGAGCGUCAGACUGAAGUUCCACUUCAUCCACACCAAAUCUGAAGGUCAUGUGUUCGAUCCACAUAAACCGCA
Molecule: non-coding RNA, 93 nt
Organism: Immersiella caudata
Lineage: Eukaryota; Fungi; Ascomycota; Sordariomycetes; Sordariales; Lasiosphaeriaceae
Source: the annotation of a GenBank genome assembly